This is a long non-coding RNA of Zophobas morio, 550 nucleotides long. RefSeq lists it as uncharacterized. Lineage: Eukaryota; Metazoa; Arthropoda; Insecta; Coleoptera; Tenebrionidae. The transcript has 2 exons. The record is from RefSeq and is a predicted model, not a curated record.
ACUCUAUUCUUAUUAGCCAAAUACACUGACGUCAUCCGAGGUCAUCAAGAUGGCAGCGUUUGACAACUAGCCUGUUUUCUCAUAAGAGUCAAUGCUAAUAUUUUCGGAAUUCAUUUAAAUUUGAGAGCGUGUCAACUGUGUUUUUAUAGUUUGGUUGUGCGAAUCGAAGCACCAGAAAUGCGGACAAAUUUUAUUUUCCUUUCGCAGCAAUUAGCAACAAUAAAGGUAAAUAUAUACAGGAUGGGGAAAAAGGCGGAAGCUUUGGUUAAAAGCCUUGAAACGAGUGGAUUUAACGAAGCCAAAGUAAAGUAUUCCUAUGUUUGUUCAGAUCAUUUUAUUUUGGUACAGUAACUACCUAUUAGAUUUACAGUUUUUAAUAAAUUACUACAUUGGUGCUCUUUUAGGUAAACCUGCAGAUUUGUCGGAUGUGGACCAUCCUGAUUAUGUUCCAUCACAAAAUUUAGGAUAUCAAAAUAAAUCCACUCGUAAUACUUGUAAUGUUGAAAGACAAAAAUAGAGAAAACUGAAUAAAUGCUUCUAGACUUUUGAA